RNAcentral lists this microRNA (23 nucleotides) under Alligator mississippiensis (American alligator). RNAcentral's name for it is "Ami-Mir-192-P4_5p (mature (guide))". Lineage: Eukaryota; Metazoa; Chordata; Crocodylia; Alligatoridae. The record is from RNAcentral.
UGACCUAUGGAUUGACAGCCAGU